GAAAUGCGAUAAGUAGUGUGAAUUGCAGAAUUCAGUGAAUCAUCGAAUCUUUGAACGCACAUUGCGCCCCUUGGUAUUCCAUGGGGCAUGCCUGUUCGAGCGUCAUUUGUACCCUCAGGCUCUGCUUGGUGUUGGGUGUUUGUCCCGUCUCCGCGCGUGGACUCGCCCCAAAGUGAUUGGCAGCCGGCGUACUGGUCCCGGAGCGCAGCACAUGUCGCGCAAACGAGUGCCUUGGUACGGCGGCGUCCAUAAGCCCCUCUCUCACGCUCUUGACCUCGGAUCAGGUAGGGAUACCCGCUGAACUUAAGC
RNAcentral lists this unclassified non-coding RNA (309 nucleotides) under plant metagenome. RNAcentral describes it as "partial contains 5.8S ribosomal RNA, internal transcribed spacer 2, and large subunit ribosomal RNA". The stretch from base 1 to 105 matches the Rfam family "5.8S ribosomal RNA", at positions 50 to 154 of the family's 154-position model. The record is from RNAcentral.